AACAGGAUAGCUCAGUUGGUAGAGCAUGAGACUCCUAAUCUCAGGGUCGUGGGCAAAAGUGGAUGCCCCUGCCACACCUCCUGUG
Podarcis lilfordi (Lilford's wall lizard) is the source of this 85-nucleotide non-coding RNA. The record is from the annotation of a GenBank genome assembly. NCBI's taxonomy places the organism in Eukaryota, Metazoa, Chordata, Lepidosauria, Squamata, Lacertidae.